Molecule: ribosomal RNA, 433 nt
Filed under: uncultured bacterium
Lineage: Bacteria
Description: partial 16S ribosomal RNA
Rfam family: Bacterial small subunit ribosomal RNA
Source: RNAcentral
AGCGAACGCUGGCGGCAGGCUUAACACAUGCAAGUCGAGCGGGCACUUCGGUGUCAGCGGCAGACGGGUGAGUAACACGUGGGAACGUACCCUUUGGUUCGGAAUAACGCUGGGAAACUAGCGCUAAUACCGGAUACGCCCUUUUGGGGAAAGGCUUGCUGCCGAAGGAUCGGCCCGCGUCUGAUUAGCUAGUUGGUGGGGUAAUGGCCUACCAAGGCGACGAUCAGUAGCUGGUCUGAGAGGAUGAUCAGCCACACUGGGACUGAGACACGGCCCAGACUCCUACGGGAGGCAGCAGCGGGGAAUAUUGGACAAUGGGCGCAAGCCUGAUCCAGCCAUGCCGCGUGAGUGAUGAAGGCCUUAGGGUUGUAAAGCUCUUUUGUCCGGGACGAUAAUGACGGUACCGGAAGAAUAAGCCCCGGCUAACUUCGUG